RNAcentral lists this microRNA (21 nucleotides) under Panagrellus redivivus. RNAcentral's name for it is "prd-miR-7867-3p". The record is from miRBase by way of RNAcentral. Lineage: Eukaryota; Metazoa; Nematoda; Chromadorea; Rhabditida; Panagrolaimidae.
AACUUAGCUUUUGCGAGUCAC